AUGGGAAACUCCCAAGAAACCACCCCAGUUUCUCAGCUUAACAGCCGUUUUUCUCCCUGCCCUGUUUGGGCGAGCUGUAACUCCAUCUGUAUUCAGGACAAGCAGCAGCGUUUGCUGGAUUUCAAAGCUCAGCCCGCAGCUGCCUGCAGCAGGACGCGAGCAGACCGUGCCCACAGCUGGGCUCGCGAGCUGCCCUCGGUGGCUCUGCACCGUGGGCAUCAGCACACACAGAGCAGCCUCUUGCUUCCGCUGACAGCCACUUCUGCCCAUCUUCCAGGGGCUGCAACAGACCAGGGACAGCCUGGCAUCCAGAGGGUAGAUUCCGCUCUGCUUCAUGUCAAAAUUCCCCUCAUUUCCCCUAGAAAGCAGGCACGCAUGGGGCUAUUUUUAACCUCGGUUUAUUUUUACAGUCUUUCAAGCAUUGCCUCUCACACGGCUGUGAAGAGAGCUCCCGGUAAUUACAGCGCAGCAUCGCUACAUCCACUGCAGCAAGGCAGGGCCCUCGCUCCCCAGCCCCAGGUGCUGCUCGGGGGCAGCGAGGACAUCCCUUGCCAGCAGCCUGCAGCCCCACCGCUGGAGAUGGGUCCAGCUGGGUGCACCCCUGUCCCCGCAGCACUGCCCCAGGACUGUCAGGAGGGAGAUGCUGCGUGCAGUGCCCAUCCCGCACCACGGAGCAGAUCGGCUGCAGGGUGGCAAAAUGGUCUGGGGCAGAGCCAAAGGCUCCUGAAAAAGCAUCCAGAGCUCUGCCCCAUGCAGAGCCCGGUGGCAGGCGGCUGGGGAAGGGGCUCGGGGUGCUCACAGCUGCCUCUCACCCCGCCGUCACCUCCCGGAGCAUCCUCCCAGGGCUCCAGCCGGCUUCCCCGGGGGAAACCGCAGCCCUGCCGCCGUGCCACACUGCCCGCCGCCACGGGUCCCCCGUUACCAUGGCAAUGCUGUCAAGGUUCAGAUAACAUUUUCCUCCAUCCCAAUUUCUGCCGCCGCUUUGUUUCUCCCGCUCGGGCUCCGCUGGACACGGCGGCACAGCUCGCCUCGCCGGGCAGCGGGGAAGGGGCCUGGCCGCGGGGCUGCUGUGCCGAGAGGGCUGCGGGCGCCUUGCGGGGAGCCCGUGCUUGGGAAUAA
RNAcentral lists this long non-coding RNA (1119 nucleotides) under Anser cygnoides (Swan goose). RNAcentral describes it as "lncRNA (ENSACDG00005004067.1)". The record is from RNAcentral. Lineage: Eukaryota; Metazoa; Chordata; Aves; Anseriformes; Anatidae.